UGGGGAAUAUUGGACAAUGGGCGCAAGCCUGAUCCAGCCAUGCCGCGUGUGUGAAGAAGGUCUUUUGGUUGUAAAGCACUUUAAGCGAGGAGGAGGCUACUUGGAUUAAUACUCUAGGAUAGUGGACGUUACUCGCAGAAUAAGCACCGGCUAACUCUGUGCCAGCAGCCGCGGUAAUACAGAGGGUGCGAGCGUUAAUCGGAUUUACUGGGCGUAAAGCGUGCGUAGGCGGCUUCUUAAGUCGGAUGUGAAAUCCCUGAGCUUAACUUAGGAAUUGCAUUCGAUACUGGGAAGCUAGAGUAUGGGAGAGGAUGGUAGAAUUCCAGGUGUAGCGGUGAAAUGCGUAGAGAUCUGGAGGAAUACCGAUGGCGAAGGCAGCCAUCUGGCCUAAUACUGACGCUGAGGUACGAAAGCAUGGGGAGCAAACAGG
Molecule: ribosomal RNA, 430 nt
Filed under: Bacillota bacterium
Lineage: Bacteria; Bacillati; Bacillota
Description: Firmicutes bacterium partial 16S ribosomal RNA
Rfam family: Bacterial small subunit ribosomal RNA
Source: RNAcentral